RNAcentral lists this ribosomal RNA (468 nucleotides) under uncultured bacterium. RNAcentral describes it as "partial 16S ribosomal RNA". It matches the Rfam family "Bacterial small subunit ribosomal RNA", at positions 28 to 507 of the family's 1533-position model. The record is from RNAcentral.
GACGAACGCUGGCGGCGUGCUUAACACAUGCAAGUCGAACGGAAAGGCCCUGCUUUUGUGGGGGGCUCGAGUGGCGAACGGGUGAGUAACACGUGAGUAACCUGCCCUUGACUUUGGGAUAACUUCAGUAAACUGGGGCUAAUACCGGAUAGGAGCUCCUGCUGCAUGGUGGGGGUUGGAAAGUUUCGGCGGUUGGGGAUGGACUCGCGGCUUAUCAGCUUGUUGGUGGGGUAGUGGCUUACCAAGUCGUUGACGGGUAGCCGGCCUGAGAGGGUGACCGGCCACAUUGGGACUGAGAUACGGCCCAGACUCCUACGGGAGGCAGCAGUGGGGAAUAUUGCACAAUGGGCGGAAGCCUGAUGCAGCAACGCCGCGUGCGGGAUGACGGCCUUCGGGUUGUAACCCGCUUUCGCCUGUGACGAAGCGUGAGUGACGGUAAUGGGUAAAGAAGCACCGGCUAACUACGUG